RNAcentral lists this long non-coding RNA (1668 nucleotides) under Pectinophora gossypiella (pink bollworm). RNAcentral's name for it is "uncharacterized LOC126375615". The record is from RNAcentral. Lineage: Eukaryota; Metazoa; Arthropoda; Insecta; Lepidoptera; Gelechiidae.
UCAGAACAAUAACUAAAGCAUAGAAGGAAGGCUAAAAUAAGAAUUCAGAAACUAUAAACCGGCUCUCUUCUAGCUUACGACACAAACUAUGAGUGAGAAAAGGACAAAUGAUUCGCUCUUUGCUUCAUUUUUUCCGAGGUUGUCACAACAUGAAAUGUCAUUUGGACCUAUUGGACUCAUUUUAAUUCGGCCAAAUACAUAGUAACAUACAUAAGAAGAUUUUACUUAUAUUUACCGAACUAUUUGACACGGUCGCGUGAACUUUGUUUACGAGUGUCUUGUGUUCAGAUUGUUUUAAGUGAUAAUUUAACAAUAUUUUUCCAAAUAAAUGGAAAGAAACUUUUAUUUAUAUCAAAUAAUUGAGUGUCUCGACUCUGUGACAUUAUGUCUUGUGUGGUAUGGGGCUGCAGCUCACAUUCAGGAAGAAAAGAAAAUAGCCAACAACUUCUGUCGUUUCAUCGAUAUUAAAUCCAAAAGUGUCGACUGGAUUUACAUGAAAAGUCAGUUCAAGAAGACGACAUGAAAAAUUUAAAAGAAAAGCUGAACAAGUCACGCCUCAAGAUCAAACGACUUAAUGAAAAAAAAAGUCAAUGUGACAGGGUGUCACAAAGACAGUUUCUAAACAAAUUGACACUGUUUAGAAAUUAAUAAAUUUGUAUUUAUUGUAAAUAUAAUGUACAUAAUUAAUAACGUGUAAAAUAAAUACUUGCUAAUGAACAGAUUUACGAUCUAAUUUAUAUUUCAUUUUACCUCCUGUUCUUAUUUACUCCUACUCCAACACUCCAGGUUGAUACGAACUGCGCCCAAUAAAGAAUGUAAUGAAUGUUAUAGAUUUGUGUAAGCGACUUAGAUAAAUCUUGACUAAACCUUCCUUUACAAAUACAAAUAUACUUUAUUGCACACAACAUACAAUACUUACAAGUUUUACACGAAAGAUACAGUACACCACCUACCUACCUUUUACUUUCCCUUUCUGUUCUCUUAUGAAUACUUGUAUGCCGUAUUUUUUUUUAAGUAUAAUGCUAUAUCUAGUAGGUACGAGUAUGGUAAUCCUAGUAUUGAAACAGCUUGUAGCCCUAGUAAAGACCGCCAUUUUAUGUUUACAGAGUGGCACGUUUUUUCUGUAGGUAUUUCCAGUCCAUACUCUUUUCUAUGUCUAUGGCGUGAGCCCAUCGGGCCUCUUACCGUCUGUGCGGCUUAGACCCGGCGGUUCCAAUUUGCACGGCACGUCGAUCGACACCAGUGCACGGCGGAUGACAUCAUAAAUAAAUUCGAAUAUUACAAAAUACUUACCGAUGAAACGAUAACAGUUGGCUAUUUUCUUUCCUUCCUGAAUGUGAGCUGCAGCUCCAAACUAAUAUAAACCAGACAAUAUAAUCCAAAAAUGGUUAGAUACUUACCUAUCAGAGACAGAGUCUCCUUUCAUCAAGAAGAAGAUAAUUGCAUCCUACAAAAAGAAAUCUUGUAAAAAAAAUUUAUCGACAUUAAUUGUAAGUAAAUUUAAUUUUAUCGACAUAUUAGUAAAGUGAAACCCAACACUAGGCAAUGAAAAACUUGUGACAACCUACGAAAUUACGAAACAAUUUUUGUAUAUGCGUCUUUGUCUAACAUUACGCCGGUUCCGUAAGAUAAAGUAGAGCAGAAUUAUAGAGUUCUGUUGCUAUUUUA